UCGGGGAGGAAGAAGAAAAAUGAGUUUCUCCCUCUUGCCGUCUCUCGCUCCCCGCCUCCCCGUCU
Molecule: unclassified non-coding RNA, 65 nt
Filed under: Sorangium cellulosum So ce56
Lineage: Bacteria; Pseudomonadati; Myxococcota; Polyangiales; Polyangiaceae
Description: sce_SECIS_14
Source: RNAcentral